Molecule: ribosomal RNA, 397 nt
Filed under: uncultured organism
Description: bacterial SSU rRNA
Rfam family: Bacterial small subunit ribosomal RNA
Source: RNAcentral
UGCCUAACACAUGCAAGUCGAGCGAACCGCAUGGGGCAACUCAGGCGGUUAGCGGCGGACGGGUGAGUAACACGUGGGUGACCCACCUGGGGGACCGGGAUAACAUCUCGAAAGGGGUGCUAAUACCGGAUACGUUCCCUGGGGCAUAAGCCUCGGGGAGGAAAGGCAGCGCAAGCAGCCACUCCCAGACGGGCCCGCGGCCCAUUAGCUAGUUGGCGGGGUAACGGCCCACCAAGGCGAUGAUGGGUAGCCGGUCUGAGAGGAUGAUCGGCCACACGGGGACUGAGACACGGCCCCGACUCCUACGGGAGGCAGCAGUGGGGAAUCUUCCGCAAUGGGCGAAAGCCUGACGGAGCGACGCCGCGUGGGGGACGAAGGCCUUCGGGUCGUAAACCCC